This 253-nucleotide ribosomal RNA is filed under the name uncultured bacterium. RNAcentral's name for it is "partial 16S ribosomal RNA". It matches the Rfam family "Bacterial small subunit ribosomal RNA", at positions 524 to 776 of the family's 1533-position model. The record is from RNAcentral.
UACGUAGGGUGCGAGCGUUAAUCGGAAUUACUGGGCGUAAAGCGCACGUAGGCGGAUCUGCAAGUCAGAGGUGAAAUCCCAGGGCUCAACCUUGGAACUGCCUUUGAAACUGCGGGUCUUGAGUUCGAGAGAGGUGAGUGGAAUUCCGAGUGUAGAGGUGAAAUUCGUAGAUAUUCGGAGGAACACCAGUGGCGAAGGCGGCUCACUGGCUCGAUACUGACGCUGAGGUGCGAAAGCGUGGGGAGCAAACAGG